This 1123-nucleotide ribosomal RNA is filed under the name uncultured bacterium. RNAcentral describes it as "bacterial SSU rRNA". It matches the Rfam family "Bacterial small subunit ribosomal RNA", at positions 47 to 1162 of the family's 1533-position model. The record is from RNAcentral.
AUUGAUUUUAUGCUUGCAUAAAUGAUUUUUGGAUUCGGAGCGAGUGGCGAACUGGUGAGUAACACGUGGGUAACCUGCCCCGAAGCUGGGGAUAACAUUUGGAAACAAGUGCUAAUACCGCAUAAUUAGUUGGAACCGCAUGGUUCCAACUUGAAAGAUGGCUCUGCUAUCACUUUGGGAUGGACCCGCGCCGUAUUAGUUAGUUGGUGAGAUAAAAGCCCACCAAGACGAUGAUACGUAGCCGACCUGAGAGGGUAAUCGGCCACAUUGGGACUGAGACACGGCCCAGACUCCUACGGGAGGCAGCAGUAGGGAAUCUUCCACAAUGGACGAAAGCCUGAUGGAGCAACGCCGCGUGAGUGAUGAAGGUUUUCGGAUCGUAAAACUCUGUUGUUAAAGAAGAACAAGUGUUAGAGUAACUGUUAACACUUUGACGGUAUUUAACCAGAAAGCCACGGCUAACUACGUGCCAGCAGCCGCGGUAAUACGUAGGUGGCAAGCGUUGUCCGGAUUUAUUGGGCGUAAAGCGAGCGCAGGCGGUUUUGUAAGUCUGCUGUGAAAGCCCUCAGCUCAACUGAGGAAGUGCAGUGGAAACUACAAAACUUGAGUACAGAAGAGGAAAGUGGAACUCCAUGUGUAGCGGUGAAAUGCGUAGAUAUAUGGAAGAACACCAGUGGCGAAGGCGGCUUUCUGGUCUGUUACUGACGCUGAGGCUCGAAAGCAUGGGUAGCGAACAGGAUUAGAUACCCUGGUAGUCCAUGCCGUAAACGAUGAAUACUAGGUGUUGGAGGGUUUCCGCCCUUCAGUGCCGCAGCUAACGCAUUAAGUAUUCCGCCUGGGGAGUACGACCGCAAGGUUGAAACUCAAAGGAAUUGACGGGGGCCCGCACAAGUGGUGGAGCAUGUGGUUUAAUUCGAUGCUACGCGAAGAACCUUACCAGCUCUUGACAUCUUCUGCCAACCCAAGAGAUUGGGCGUUCCCUUCGGGGACAGAAUGACAGGUGGUGCAUGGUUGUCGUCAGCUCGUGUCGUGAGAUGUUGGGUUAAGUCCCGCAACGAGCGCAACCCUUAUUAUUAGUUGCCAGCAUUUAGUUGGGCACUCUAGUGAGACUGCCGGUGAUAAA